Molecule: unclassified non-coding RNA, 1046 nt
Filed under: Hevea brasiliensis (rubber tree)
Lineage: Eukaryota; Viridiplantae; Streptophyta; Magnoliopsida; Malpighiales; Euphorbiaceae
Source: RNAcentral
GGUAGCAACUAGGCGGGUGUAUAGCUGCAAUUAUAAAACGAAAAACUUCUAAAGGAUUAAUGUUGAUUCAUGACAAAGUUGAGGUUUAAAAUACAAAAAGCAACUCCAUGAAUGGGAUUGAAUAAAUUAUACUUCAAGGUUAGUCCCAUUUUCACUUGUGGGGUUUUGCCCAAUGACAAUUUGUCCCAUUACAUUUUGUUAAGGAUUAAAAGAUUAGAAAAGACCGUAUCUCAAGCCAUUGCACAAGAAAACCGUUAAAAAAAAUUAUGAACUUUCAGAAGGAAUGUAUCAUCCAAAAAAUAUAGUGCUACACUACAAAAUCACAUGGGCUUUUCCAUAAAAUUAAAUUGCAACAUUUGCACAAAAUAAAAGCUCUUUUAUGUGCUAUUACAUUAAUAAGCACUGACCAACCAAGUACCCUUUCAGAAUCUAUACUUUCCAAGCUGAGCAAAGGCAGAUGAAUAAAGAUAAGGUCAUACUAUUUCUAUAAAUUUUCCUCGUUAGCAAUAAUUAAAGAGAACGUCAUAAGCUGUCUAUAUUCACCACUAAUUUGAGUUUUAUUUUAGGCCUAUUCGGCAACAUGAGCUAUUCUAAUAUUCUAGUGUUUUAGUAGCGAUCAUCUGAAGUGUUACUAAAAAUAGCUAUUGUAAUAGAUAUUAAAUGUAAAACAAUAUUAAAUGUAAAAGGAUAGGAGGGAAAAUAAACGUCUAAACACAAGCCACCGAACAGCCGAACAGUAUGAUCAGGUAGUUUCUAGUCAAAACACUAAACAUCUUAGCCGUUUACCGAACAGGGCCUCAGUGAUUGUGCCAAAAAUGAAAUUGCCCCAAAAGAAAUUGACGCCCACAUGGAUAACGCCAAUUAUUUCCCAUAGGAAAAGAAUUUAUGAGGCAAUGAAUCUCACCAUGGAACCAGAACCAGAAAAUAUAGGGAACCAGAAAAUAUAGGAAACCAAACAAGUAUUAUAUCUACAAGAGACGAAAGAUAAAGCAAGUAGAGAUGUGUGCAAAUGAAGUGACGUACAUCAGGGGGGCAAUCAUUUAACA